AAUGCCCGUAUUCAAGGAAAAACAAUGGAUUUUAAUCAUUGCUAACUUCAGAGCCAAAUUUUUUGAUAUCAUGAACCCAUACUACAGUGGUGAUUCAUUUCUACCAACAAUUAGUGUUGUUAUCCACAACUUCAAGGUUUUGUUUGCUGCUACAUACGGAAAUUCUAGUUCUUUCAGCAUACGAAAUUUCGAAUCAAGAUUUGUACCAGCUCCCAAGGUCAAUUUCAGGUAUGACUCAGGAAUUUUCCUUCUUUAGUAUGUUAGCAAGUACAAAGGUCUCGGUUUGGAAGGUUUCUCUAAUGUAAGUAAUAGUCAUAUCUUUCCUUUUUUGGUCAUUAAUUGUAACAUAUCAGGAACAAAACAACAACUUUUUAUAAAAUACUGUAGGAGGAUUUACAUGCUCAACGUCAAAAAUUCCUUUUCGAGAUUGUAACUUGCAAGCACAAUGAAAUUCAGCUCCCAUUAGUAACUUCUUUCCUGCAGAGACAUGGUUUCCGCAUAUUGAAGUGAAGCUUGGAACGCCAUUUUUUACUUGUUCUGCACAUGACAGUAACCUCAGGGUCUCAUUAAUACUGUCACCAUCAAGGGAAGUUGCACUGCAAGAUUGAACUCAAAGGAAUACUUCGAUGCGAAAAAUGUUUCCUUAACGAUAGAGUUAUCUUUUUUUCUCUUAAUGGUCUAGUGAUAGUUUCUUUCCAAGAAAUUUGGGUGUAAACAAUGUCUGAAAACAGCUGAAACAUUUUUGUA
Molecule: long non-coding RNA, 747 nt
Organism: Triticum aestivum (bread wheat)
Lineage: Eukaryota; Viridiplantae; Streptophyta; Magnoliopsida; Poales; Poaceae
Exons: 4
Source: RefSeq, a predicted model, not a curated record